CUUCAUCCAUGUGUGUUGGAGCCAACAAAAGGCUCCAGAGCUGCUCUUGUGCCUUGUCCCACAUAACGCUUUCAUUUUAAGACCAAGCCCCAGUAUUAAAAGUAAACAUCAACACUCUGAGUGAUUCUUGGCCAUAGCAAGGCUCCCCAGCAUCAUUGCAGGAAAGAAAUCUCAACAAGGGCCUCUCAGUUAACUACACAGCCUCCAUCCCAGCAGCCCUGUUCAAGCACAGCCCCUGCAGACGGGGGCACCACAGCUUUUCUCUGUGGCAGAGGAAAGCUAUGGAUUUAUUGUUUCACCAUCAGGAAAUCGCGCUAGUUUGUUGUUGUUGUUGUUGUGUUUUGUUUUGUUUUUGGAGACAGGGUCUUACUGUGUAGUCCUGGCUGUUCUGGAACUCACUCUGUAGACCAGCCUGGCCUCGAACUUACAAAGAUCUGCCGGCCUCUACCUCCCCAGUGCUAGGGAUCAAAGGCAUGUGACACCACCACCCGGCCUGCUCUAGUUGUGAAGGGGAGUAACUAACUAACCGUACAGAUAGCCCGACCACCAGUUCUACUUUCGAAGAGGUGAAAAAUAAUCCCAUUAAAAUACUGUGUUUCGCAUUCUCUGGAUAGCUGAGCUUCCUGACCGACAUUCCUCCCGGAGCUGGGGAGGAAGCUUGACUCAGCUCAGCUCUGCUUGGAGUCCUGAGGAACAGGCUAAAUGCAUGGUGGAUCAGGGCAGCAUUCCGGAGUCAGGGGCCACGGGGCAGGUUCCCCCCAGCUCGGGGUCACAGGACAGAAGGAGAGAGGAAAAGAGUGUGGAAAGUCGGACUGCAACUGACUGCAUGCUGACGUCAUUGUCCAGGCCAGCCGCAGCUGCUCCUUCCUGGAAAGAGGCUCGAAGGCCCCAGGACAAAAAGAUGUGAGGGGGAAUUACUUGAAGUGGGACACAAACAGAAACCAAAGGCAAAGCAAAAACUUUCACAUGCUGCUCAGGGCAAUCUGCUCGUGCAAAAUCGAAUCAGUGAAGCCAAUGCCAUGUCUUUGCUGCCCGCUACAACUUUAAAGUGUAUUUCACAGAGUUUUGUUUUUGGUUUUCCCCCUCAGCGAUGUCAUUUGGAGAAUGUUCAAAAAUGGCAAAGCAAAGAGAAGAGACACAUUAAAGAUUUCUGGAAAACGACUUUUAACACACUUUAGGCCCAUCGCUAGCUAUUGCAAAUGUAUUCAGCUCUUCCCUGAAAGGCAUUAGCAGUGAGGAAUAAAAUCAAGUCCUGCCAGGAAUCUCUCACGAUCCCUCCCACGCAUAGUUGAUUAAUGGACUCUAGUUAGGCUGGGUUUUAAUAUGCUUUGCUAUCCGGUGGCACAUGGUCGGGGAGCAGAGAGGCCGAGUCCUGGAAAAGGCACGUGUGCAGAGCACAUGACCUUGGGCGGAGUUCUGAGUGGGAUGAAUCCAGGGACUUUGAUGGUGGACACAAUGAAAGAGACAAUCAAUCUCUACAGAUCUGCUAUGGAAGAAAAACCACAGCCCAUCCGCAUACCCCAGAGGACCCAGGGAGGAGCAAAACAGAAACCGGAUCUCCAUAGGAAGCGGUGUUACCAGAACGCCUGGGGCCGCGGUAGAAUUCCUGACCUUGCCAUAUCUCUAGCACACUCUGGGUGCCAGUGGCUGGGAAGGGGGUGGAAAGAACUCAAGCGGAUGGCAGAACCACGUUUGAUGUACGGUAAGCAUUGACUCAGGGAAAGACAAAGCAUUCCAAGGCCAUUUCCCCCAGGAAGGAGGUUUUCUGGAACUAGGUUUAAGUUCCCAGCCUGAGUCUAUUCUAAGGUCUUUGCACACAUGGACUUGGGACUUCCGGAAUAUAGGUGCCCGACUCAUCCCAUCGUGUGCUCUUCUUAGCAUGGUACAAUGUUUAACACAAUGAAUGAAUGUAUGCAAGAAGCACAGAAUAAAUAAUUGAUUAGCUCUUUAGGGAAGAUAAUGGUUUCUAUGUAACUCUGAGUGCAGGAUGAAGGUUGAACAGAAGCGAAGGUGGUUUUGUGCCAUAAAAGGGAGCACAUUUGCCAGGAUGCCUCUGGAGGCCUCGUAAUUCCUGAGCUUGAUGUAGCCCUGGCAGGCUAUUGGUGGCUAACGGCCAGAGUGCUGUGACUUUUAUUUUUUUCCAAAGAGUGUCAUCUGGAGAUUGCCCCAAAUGGUAAAGCUAAGGGAGAAGACAUUUUUAACUUCUAGAAAACUUCAUUUAACCUGUUGCAAAGCCUAUUUCUGACUAAGUCCAAGGGUGUACAAAACUUUUCAUAAAGAAGUGUGACAGAUGACUAUAUAUGUCAGAGCAACACUACAAAAGCCAUUAGGUAGGAGAAUUUUCACCCAGCAUGGCCAAAAACAUAGGAAUGACCAGCUUGUCUCCUCAAUCCUGGGAAAAGCACCCUCAAAUAUCUCCAAAUUCCUCAAACAUCCCUCGGGUCACAUCUAAAUCUCUAGCCAAGACCACCUACAGAUACUUGUCUUCAGCCAAGGCCACCUACAGAGACCUUACACUUGUAGUGUUUUCAAUACCUAAUCCCUGAAGGAAAUGAGAGAGAGAGAGAGAGAGAGAGAGAGAGAGAGAGAGAGAGAGAGAGAGGAGACAUAAUCAUUGUUGGGAUCAGAUGAUGGGCUUCAAGUCUCUUCAGGCUGGUGUCCAAGGUAGUAUGACCCAGACUGACGCUCUGGGUAUGGAGUAUAAUGCUCUUAUGCUAAGGCAGGCUGUUUGGCAGGGACUGUGUUCCCCAGCCUUCCUUGCAUCUAAGUGAGAAGAUGGAUUGAUCUUCACCAAUGAGUGACACUAGAACCAACACGUUUCACUGAUUGCAAGCAUCUUCAUUGAGAAGGGCAUCUCAUCCAUGCUCUGCUCUGCCAUUCAGCAGUCGAGUGAGGAGGACUCUGCCGUCCUAGCAGAGGGGCGAAUUCCAGAUAGAGUGCCAGCAGAGAUGAUUUUUGAAGAUUCUCACUGCCAAAAAAGUUGUAAAUGGCUGAGGCGACAUUGUCUCCAGUUGCUCCUAGCUAAUCACUACUCAUUGUGUAUACAGACUGCAAUGCCCCACAAACCCCAGAAAUAAGUACCAGUUACAGUGUGUCAGCGAAAAGAAGAAGUGUUUUCUUUAAAGAGGCAGAGAAAACACUGGUUCAUGGGAGAUUGCCUGGGAACGCCUCUGUUUAACUGUGGCACUGUUAUAGUGUGACUUUGAUGUCCCCAAGGUUCUCUGCUGCUGACAGUAUUAUGGGAUGUAAUGGGAAUGUUAGGAGGUGGGGCCUCACCAAAGGAAGUAGGUCACUGGGGGGUGUGCCUUUGAAGAUUACAGCUGAGCCCAGGCUUUUUCUUCUGUGCUGGUUAGCUUUUUGUCACAAGCUCAGGUCAUCUGGGAAGAGGGACCCUAACUGAGACAGUGUCUCCAUAGGAUUAGCCUUUAGGCAAGUCUUUGGGGGCGUUUUAUUGGUUAGGGGUUGAUGCAGGAGUACCCACUCACUGUAGAUGGUACUAACUUGGGCAGAUGGUCCUGGCUUAUAUGAGAAAAACCCAAAAUUUUCCUCCAAUUUCAACUUAGCACUUGACAUUUUCAACUUAGCACAGGCUUAUUGGGAGGUAAUCCCACAAAUUGGGGAGUAUUUGUCUAUCAAAAUCAUAGAUCAAGAGUUCUCAUGGCUAAAACAACAAACUACAGGUGUAAAGAUAUGGGCAAAGGACAUGGACAAAAAUCCAGAGGAAAGUAGAACCAGGCCGCUAAGCUGUGGCUCCAUUGGCAGAAUGCUUGCCUCCAUGUAUACAGUUCUGGGUUUGAUCCUCAGACUAGGAGGAAAAAAAGUCCAAUAACAACAAGAAUACAUAAGAAGAUGGCCAACCUUGCUCGUAACUAAAGAAAUUAAAAUUUGUCUUUUAAGUAAUUUAUUUUUUAAGUUUUCAGCCAAGUAUUUAUUGUAUAUUGAAAGUACUCCCCUCUGUGGGGUUUGAAGGAGAUGUCCUCCAGAGUCUCUGGCAUUUGAACACUUGGUCCUCAGUUGGUGAUGCUGUUUGGGGAAGCUUGAGAGGCAUAGCUGGAGAAAGUACAGCGAUGGUGGUGGGUUUCGAGAGGCAAAGCCUCAUGCCAUCCCAGCUUGCUGUCUCUGUGCUUUGUGUUUGUGGUUCAAGAUGUGAGGUCCCGGUUUCCUGCUCCUGCUCCUGCCCCACACCUCAUUUCACUCCUGUGGACUCUUACUCUUCAGGAACAGUGACACUAGCUGAUGUCAAGUUGACAAGACAACAACAAACCUAACGAGCAUAGCACAGAUGGAUGCAAAUGGAAGCUGGAAGGUCAUUAGGAGAAGUUCCUGCCCCCCAUGACCUACUGCUAGAAGAGCUGCUUCCGGUCUAUAAAGCAAGCAGCAGGUGCCCAGGACUUACUGCUGAGCCCCUUGCAGGCUAAGCUAGACAAAGGGUCCUGAUUUCCCAGGAAGUGUCUGUUGGAGUGGGUACAGUACGGCUGUGGAAACACAAAGGAGCUGCCUCUCUCCAUCCCGAAGCGGUAAUAAGUUCUCUACCCACGAAGGGACACACUUGCUCGGGAUAGAGCAGGAAAGAUCCCGUCAUCAACAAGGCAAAGCACAAGGUGCUUGGGCUUCACUUCUAGACUUAAUCUCCCUCCCAUGCAGAUGUGCUGAACCUUCCAGAAACUGGUCUUUGUCGCCCCAAGCAAACAGCCACAUAGAAAAUCUGUGAGUCAGUCAGCCUGUUCCUGUUGGUCCACCCAGGCUGGAACACACUAAAAGCCCAAACAAAACAAGUGUGGCUCUUACAAGCAGGAGGACGAUAAGGGAUCCGGUUAGAGGCUUUGCCCAGUGACCCACUGGCUGUUCAUUCUGUGAAUUCUGCCCAGGAAUUUACAAGGAAUCCAAGGUCUGUGAUUGGGAAACUGGGAAGAGAGCCAUCAGGCCGAGUUGGCAGUGAAAAGCUGGGUGAAACAGCGGAUAUCUGGUAAGAACUGGGCUGAGUUUUAUCCACACUUACUCCCUCCCCUCAGAAGUGCAAAGGAAGACUACACCGCCUUAUCCCGUUGCAAAAAUGAAAAAUCAUUUCUUAUAUGGAACUGAACACUGAGUCCUAGAGACAGGGAGGUAGACCCACUGCCAGAAAUGACAUCAUUAGGUAGAACAAGCCAAGGCCUUGUGACUCCAACAAUGGCUCCCCCGUCCAAUGUCACCACAUCAACACAGCCUCCGGAAGAUCUUGGCCCCUGCAGGUCUGGUGCCUGUCUGUUCCCACAAUGCUUUUCUGCAGACAUUUACCACUCUCUCCGGUCAAAGGCAUCUAAGCACUUGUCAAGGUGUCCUGAGAUGGAUUCUCUCUGCAGUUACUUGCUCACUUUUCCUGAAGGGGAAAGUGACCUCCUCAUGGCCUCGCUUGUGGAUCCCUAGCCCCUUGUGGGGUGGUUCUGAGUAUCUGAAGCAGCCGCUUUGGAGAUGGGUGGUCCUGAGUUCAAGACAUACUUUUUAAUCUGUGUAAUCUUAGACAAAUUAUUUAAUAUCUCUUUGCCACAGAUUCCCCCAAGUUUUAAAUGAGAACAGAAACCAUUUCCCAGCACAGUCAGGAAGAUUAAUGGAUCAUUAGUAUCCAGCAAGGGGCCUGAAUGUGGUAACAGCAGAAUAAAGCUGUGACUGUCUCGGGAACCCCAUUACUCACCUGCCCUGGAUUGUGGCAGGGAAGAAUAGUUUCAUAGAUGGAGAAGACCCCUGUCCCCCCAAAGAAAGUGUGACUCACAGAGCAGCUUUCUGCCUUGCUGCAAACCACCCACCCACAGUCCCCUCUCCUUGAUGUCACCACUAUUAGACUGUUCUCCCAUUACACUAGAAGAGAGGGUUGAGGGCCAGCCUCUGCCCAGAAUGGGGACAUCCCAAGGCAAACCAGAAAGCAAAGGAAGCUGAAGGAGGCAGCUUAGAUGUGCCCUCUCUCGGGAGAAGCAGCCAUAAAAGAGCUCUGGCUGCUGCUUCCCUCUUGAUAAAUGCCCUCUGCUUCUCCAGCCAGAGCGACUGCCAGGAGUCAGCCUUGGUUGAAGUUGUAUGUUUUCCCCUGAGCAGUGACCUCAGUGCAGUCUUUCUAGGGAUUCAUAAUCCCUGGGAAUGCUGACAGCCCCAAAGUCACUGCCUCCUCCCAACUCUGCUCUUCUGGUGACAAGGAGGCCUCCAGCUCCUCAGUGGGAUAGACUCCAGGACUGCAGGGAUGGCUUCUCUGUCACUGUAACUCACAGCUUCCUGAAUGCUGAUGGACCUACCAGGCCACUGGGCACCCAGGGCUAAGCCUUUGCUGCUCACCUUCAGGUUCAUUGGUUCUCAGAACAGGGAAAGGAAGGGCUGAUGGGGACCCACCUGUGUGACACUCUGAGGUGAGUUCAGGGGGACUAAGCCGACUGGUACACAUGUAACCACAAGCCAGGCUUUGCGAGUGAAGGAUGCUCCCCAGCUAUGUGAUUGUGUCAUUUUUAUCUCUGGUCCUAUGGAGAACUGGGACUUGGUAGGUGCUGGGAGGGAGCAGAAACUUCAGGGCGCACAUGAGCAUAGUCUAGAAUUCUCUAGGAAGGAGGAAGAGGACAGAAUGGCUAGCUAGCACAAGUGCCUGAGGGACAGUGAAAUUGGUGGUGAUCAUUACUGCAACUUUGAGCUAAACUUGGGGUUGUCUGGGAGGUAAUCAGAGAAAUAGGAGGCUUGGGGUUACCUUGCACUAGUUGCAAGCAGGCCAUCCAUUGGGCUCUCGUGAAUUCAAGCCCCUCAGCCUUGUCUUAGCUGGGAAGCCUGGUUAUUGGCUACCAGUCCAGUGACAUGGGAAGAGCACAUUGAUAUUUUGAGGGACAGACCUGCAUCCUGUUACUUGCCUUCCAAUAUGAGGAGCCCUGACCCACCCUACCCCCCAAUCUGACCCAGCUAUCAGGUUUUAGGUUUUAGGACAACUGUUCCUAGUGCUAACCCCAGAAGAAGAGCCAGCUCCAAUCUGCCCCCCUUCCUUACACACUCAGGAUAUAUAUAUAUAUAUAUAUAUAUAUAUAUUUAUAUAUAUAUAUAUAUAUGGUGUGCUUAUUUGAGGCUCCCUGAUGCCCUAAAGCACACCUUUUUAGGCGACAGUCAUCUUGUCAAAUACAAAGCCUAAACACUCAUGAUCUGGAUGGUUCUGACUUGAAUGGGAGCCUUAGUGUCUCCCUGUGUCCUGGGACGCUGAGCUCUGUCUCUGACCCUGUAGCCUUGAGGUGAGGAUUUUGCCUGUUAGGGUCUGAGGACUUCUCAAAGCUGAAGUUGAUCUUCUAUGUGGGUCACCAGAGUAGAUGGCAUCCUCUAGUCACUCUUUGCAAGGACAAUGUCUAGCAAGUGCUCUCUGCUCUGGCCCUGCCCUCAGUUCCUUCUUGUAAUGCCCUGGCAAUUAUUAUUGUGAGCCACAGAUGACACCUGUGGUGGCUCAGAGGGGCUGAGUCUGCACAUGUCUCUUGAGGGCUGUGUGUGGCUUGUGAUGGAGGCAGCUAGUGAGAAGUUCCCUGUGCCCUGUGACUAAGCUCAGAAAGGCAAUGAAGGCUUAGCUGGCUGCUUGUGUCCUGACUGGAGACCGAGGGUUCAGUGCAAUGUAACUCAGCUUAGGGGUUUCUUGAGUCCCUACAAGAACAGUCCGUAGGCUGAGUGUAGAUAAAACCAGAAGCAAAUGGCCUCAAAGAGAUCACAGUGAACGCUUCAGGUAGAAGACAGCAACAGAGGAGAUGUUGACAAGAGGCUUUCCCAUGAACCCCGCCCUCUGCGAAAUAUCUUUCCUUCACCUCUUCCCCAGAUUAACUUUCCUGGAUCCUCCCUAGGCUCUCACCUCAGUGACAUUUCCUUGAAGGAGGUUUCCCUGCUUGGAGUGGCUCGGGUAAUUCCCUGGUUAUACUCUCUGUCUGGGCUACGGGUUCCACUCCUCAGCAGCUCAUGUCCCUGAUAAAAUGUGCAGUUCUCUGUGUGGUUACUUGAUUACUUUAUGUCCCCUGGCUAGGCUGAUUAGAAGCUCCAUCAUGUUGAGUACCAGGUAUAGGAAGAACACUAUGAAGACCCACUGGGAAAACACAUGGUGAACUGUACGACAGCUAUUGGCAGUGCUUCAGAGUCUCCAGAUUUGCAGUCCAGGAUUUACACCAGCAACUGGCCUCUCCUUUCACCUGUAGCCUCACAAUGGAAAUCACUCCAUUAACUCCCCCCAGCAACUAGGUCUUCAGACUCAGCCUUCUCAGGACUUCUGCUUGCAAAUGGUAUUUCAUGAGACUUUAUGGGUGAUGUAACCUAUAGGCCCAUUACCAUAUUCAAUCUCCAUUGUACAUCUCCAC
Molecule: long non-coding RNA, 8321 nt
Filed under: Cricetulus griseus (Chinese hamster)
Lineage: Eukaryota; Metazoa; Chordata; Mammalia; Rodentia; Cricetidae
Description: lncRNA (ENSCGRG00015038037.1)
Source: RNAcentral